RNAcentral lists this ribosomal RNA (500 nucleotides) under uncultured bacterium. RNAcentral's name for it is "bacterial SSU rRNA". It matches the Rfam family "Bacterial small subunit ribosomal RNA", at positions 899 to 1397 of the family's 1533-position model. The record is from RNAcentral.
ACUCAAAGGAAUUGACGGGGCCCCGCACAAGCGGCGGAGCAUGCGGAUUAAUUCGAUGCAACGCGAAGAACCUUACCUGGGCUUGAAAUAUACGGAAAUCCCGCAGAGAUGCGGAGUCGGUUCGUCCGGUCGUAUACAGGUGGUGCAUGGUUGUCGUCAGCUCGUGUCGUGAGAUGUUGGGUUAAGUCCCGCAACGAGCGCAACCCUUGCCUCAUGUUGCCAGCGCGUUAUGGCGGGGACUCAUGAGGGACUGCCGGGGUCAACUCGGAGGAAGGUGGGGAUGACGUCAAAUCAUCAUGCCCCUUAUGUCCAGGGCUUCACGCAUGCUACAAUGGCCGGUACAGAGGGUUGCGAUAUCGCGAGAUGGAGCCAAUCCCAAAAAGCCGGUCUCAGUUCGGAUCGGAGUCUGCAACUCGACUCCGUGAAGGUGGAGUCGCUAGUAAUCGCAGAUCAGCAACGCUGCGGUGAAUACGUUCCCGGGGCUUGUACACACCGCCCGU